GACGAACGCUGGCGGCGUGCUUAACACAUGCAAGUCGAACGGUGAAGCGCCUUCCUUUUUGGUGGGUGUGGAUGAGUGGCGAACGGGUGAGUAACACGUGAGUAACCUGCCCCCUUCUUCUGGAUAACCGCAUGAAAGUGUGGCUAAUACGGGAUAUUCUGGGUCUGUCGCAUGAUGGGUCUGGGAAAGAUAUUGUUUCGGUGGGGGAUGGGCUCGCGGCCUAUCAGCUUGUUGGUGGGGUGAUGGCCUACCAAGGCGGUGUCGGGUAGCCGGCCUGAGAGGGUGGACGGUCACACGGGGACUGAGACACGGCCCAGACUCCUACGGGAGGCAGCAGGGGGGAAUAUUGCACAAUGGGCGCAAGCCUGAUGCAGCGACGCCGCGUGAGGGAUGGAGGCCUGCGGGUUGUGAACCUCUUUCGCCAGUGAAGCAGGCCUGCCUCGUUUGUGGGUGGGUUGACGGUAGCUGGAGAAGAAGCGCCGGCUAACUACGUG
Molecule: ribosomal RNA, 494 nt
Filed under: uncultured bacterium
Lineage: Bacteria
Description: partial 16S ribosomal RNA
Rfam family: Bacterial small subunit ribosomal RNA
Source: RNAcentral